AACCCUUAUAAUUCUCCCUCUCUCUCUCCCCUGCCGUCGUCUCUCUUCUUCUCUCUCUCGCCGUUGUCUCUCUUCCGUUCAAGAACCUAAAAGUAAGGCACUUUGGUGAUUUUCAAGGUAGCUGAAGGCUAUAUAAAGGGAAAAAAUUUGGUUAAGAGAAAACCAGUCUUUAUACAGCAACAUAGUACUCUUCUAUGGAAGAAAACACAAUACAAAGCAUGAGUUUAAAUCAAAUUCAAGAUUGAAGGAGGAUUUCUUAAGGUAAAAUUUAUUUUUCUUCAAUGCAAGAAGUAAAUCAAAAAUUCGAUUUUUCUUUGAUUAUAUCAUUUACUAAUUUCGUUUUUAAGGUGAAUGAUGAAAGGUAGUAAUAUACUUUUUGCUAUUUGUUGGUAUUUAAUUGAAUUUUUUCAGACUAAAUGCCUUAAUUAAGGAAUAAUUUUAAUUUACAUUCAAAUAAUAAGUUGACUUAAUUAUGUUGAAUUGAUUAUACUGGAGAGAGGUUAUCAAUUAAGUAAAGGGAUUCAGUCAAAUACACAGAGUCAAUUGUUGUUAGAAAUUGAUUGUUAGAAUUGCAGGAAUAAUAUGAUGAAUUUGACAAACUCAUAAUCCUUUAAUUUUACCCUACAAAGCAAAAACCAAUUUCUGUAUUAGACUAUUUGAGAAUUAAGAUUUUGGUUAUAGUUCUACCCUGUUCUUGUUUACUUAUAGCAUAUUAUAGAUUGCUGUUUCUCAGUUUCGGAAUAUAUCCACUUAUGUAGAAGUCAAAAUUACUGGUAGCUGGUGUUGUUCUUGGGUAUGUUUGGGUAAUUAAAGUUGCCAUAUUCAUUAAAAUGAUUGUUUUUGUUUCUGUUUUUCUUUUUUUUUUUUUCAGUCCAUUAUGAGCCUGCCUUAGACUUUUGGUAUGCAAAUGAAAACACCAAACGCUCACUUAUAGAAUUUGCUAUCUAUUGUGGAGUGUCAAAUAGAAAAUUACAACCUUUCCAUAUUGAUAAUAUCCUGUUAUAGCAGUGUUUUAAUAUUGUGGAUAUUUGAUUAAGCAUGUAAAUGUUGCUAUUACAGGUAUGGAUCUUGAUGAACAAUGUGCAUACCACUUUGAGUUAAUUGUGGAUCUUGAUGAACAAUGUGCAUUUAUUGAGGUUUUUCUAAAUAUCUUUAUUGGCUAUCAUUUAUUUCAACAUUUUGGAAAAAAUGAAGUAAUGCAGUCUUUUUCAUUCUCCAGUUUUUAUCUUAUGGACAGGGUUUUGUUUCAUUACCUUGGUAAUUUUAAGUGGAAAAAAUACUUAUAUAUGAUCAUUCUCCCCUCCCUUUCUUUGUUUCUAAACAUUGUGAAUGUAAUAGAAUGUGUUGAACAUUGUGAAAAAAAUUGGUCUCUCAACAACCCCUCUAUCGACUUGGAGUUUCGAGUCAGGUGACAAUCUGUUUCUAGUUUGGUCUUAGUUGAAGUUUAUCAAACAGCAUAUUCCUCUAUUUGAAUUAAAAGGGGAUAGACUGCAACUAGAGGUAGAAAGAUGAAAGGGUAAUAUUCUAGUUCUAAAAAUAAGACUAAGAAGAACUUUCUUCAAGUUAUGGGGAUAGGAGUUUGGACAUUAAGGGGAAAAAACAUGAUUGGAGAGAAUUUGGAGCCACAACAUCGAAGAAAAAUACAAAUACCGAUGGGAUUUCAGGCAAUUAUUUAACCCGGUGACGUUAUUUUUUCAAGUUAUUAUGUAUUUUGUAAUUUUCUCCAUGCUAGGGUAGAAAUUCUUAUGCUAUGAGAUCGAUGAACCUUGUAAUGUGAUUCUUAAUUCAUUCUUUCAUAUUUUUGACAUUAAAACACGUUUGAUUAUUUUGAAUGAUUUAUAUACAUUUAAUUUCUUUCGCAAUUAAGGGCCCGUAAUUGUGUGAGUUUUGGUAACUUAUUUCUUGCAUUCGAGAGAAGGGAAAUACGUUCAACAAGGUAUAAAUCAUCGUAGGGUCUGAUAGGGGAUAAAUAUAUACCGCUAUACUCUGCGUGAAUCUUUAAGUGCUCACAAAACUACAUGAAUUCUUGUAUAUUUGCACCCGUCAUAGAGAUAUAGGCUGGUGGUAUAUGAGAGUAGGUUCAACUUUGCUCGAGAGAAACUGUUGGAUAGAUUUAGGAGCAUUGGUCCUUCAUAAUUUCAACGUAUUGUCAAAUUAUAGAACUAGGGUUGAAUUAAGCAUUGCUUGGGAAUUCGUGAUCCCAGUACAUUAUUCAAUCUCUGAAUACAUUACAUUGAGUUCUCAACAUUUAAUAGCAUUUUAGUUCAUUUAAACAUCAAUUUUCAUUUUGUUCAUUGCCUGCAUAAUUAGCUUAGGUUAGGGAGUAAUUAUAUUAUAAAAUCACUUGUCAAAAUUUAGUUUCGGUUAAGGUCUAGAAUAAAUAACAUUUAACUAACUCAAUCUCAGUGGGCGAUAUUCGGAACUUUAAAUUCCACUAUAUUACUUGUCACGAACCGUACACUUGCGAUAGUUUUAAAUCGAAAUAAAUAAUUUCGUGAACACUAGACCAGGCUGACUUAUUGGUGGAAUAUUUGAAGUUCUAUGAGAAACAUCCAAUGCCAUGGAGAAUUAUCCGUUCUCAUGUGCACAAGUUGGUGGUACAUGUUUUAAUUUUAUUUUGGAAAAUAGAAUGUGUUGAAUAUUUUACAAGUUUCGAAUUGUUGGAUCAAAGAACAGAUUUUCAGUACCGUAGUAAGCAUAUAUGAAAAAGUGCGAAUUAAUUUUAAAAAAAUAUAAAAAUGACCAAUGACAACAUUUGCAAAAUGUUGCCAAAACCUAAGGAUAAAAUAAGAUAAUGUUGCAAAAACGUUGCAAAAAAUUAACGGCAAAGUUGAAAAAACAUUGCAGAAAAGUUGACGGCACCAUUAAAAAAAUAUUGCAAAAAGUUCAACGGUUACGUUGAAAAAACACUACAAAAAUGUUAAAUUGUAAAAAAAUUAACGGUAACGCUGAAAAAUGUUGCAAAAACAUCUUCAGCAACAAUUUUUAAACGUUACAAAAAAGUCCUUUUGCAAAGGUGAAUAACUUUUGUUGUAUUCUACCCUCAACAGCAACAUCGAUCCCCACAACACAUGCUAAAACGCUGCAAAUGACCUUCUGCUAUGUUUUUUUACUGCUGCAAAAGCCCUUUUUUUGGUAUAGUGACGUUUAUAACUUCUAUUUCAAAUGAAAACUAUAACCUAAAAGUCCAUGUAUACACCAUUAACAUUUCACUACCAUUGUUUUUAAUCCCAUUUUAGUUAAUAACAAUCACCAUUAUAAUCUUGGAACUGAAAAACAAAAAUCUCCUACAACCUCUUAAGCUACGUUUUCUCUCCCAAACUAUUAUACCUAUACAUAAAAUUAUUUUGCCCUUUUUCCAUAAACACAAGGCACUUGAAUUUGAAAAUUUUCUAAAGAAGAGAUAAAGAGUAUGCUGGAUUUUGUUACAUAUUGAGUGCAAAAGGAUAUACAAACUCCAAGUAGUUAAGUUAGGGAUCUUUUGACACUUUUCUAAGGGGAGUAAAAAAAUUUGUUGUUUUCGAUUCGCAUUAACGUGUUAUUGUUUUACUCAUGAGAGAAUGGAAGCACCCUUUGGUGUUUCAACUAUAAGAUGAAGAGGAAACACCCUUUGGUAUUUCAACUAAGAGAUGAAGAGGAAGCACCCUUUGGUAUUUCAACUAGAGAUGAAUUUUGAUUCAUGAAAAGGGAUUGUUAAAACCUAAGAGUAUGCAGACUAUUUGAUCUUCGGUUCGCUUUAAAAUUGACGGUGACGCAAAUAACCAAAGAUUGCAAUUUUAGAAAACAUAUAUUUCUUAUCAACUAACCUGAAUUUAUAGGUUAGCUGAUGGGAUGGCAGUGGCUUGACAUGGUGGCAAGUGAUCGGUGAUUUGAAAUGCUCUCAACUUUCUAGAAGAAAGAUUUCCAGUUGUGUAUACCUUUUCUGAACAUUUAGAUGGCACUUUUAAAAUGUUUAAUUUUCUGAGCCGUCUAGUUUAAUAUACAUUUCAUGUCAGCCAUAAUUUGAAAAUACUGAAAUGACUAUGCAUAAAGUUUAUUUGUUGCUAGAUUGAAUUUGAGAUUAUGUCCUUCCAUUUGGAAAUGGUAUAGCUUGGGCCAUG
Molecule: long non-coding RNA, 4100 nt
Filed under: Olea europaea subsp. europaea
Lineage: Eukaryota; Viridiplantae; Streptophyta; Magnoliopsida; Lamiales; Oleaceae
Source: RNAcentral